AGAGUUUGAUCAUGGCUCAGAACGAACGCUGACGGCAGACCUAACAUAUGCAAGUCGAACGCCCCGCAAGGGGAGUGGCAGACGGGUGAGUAACACGUGGGAACCUUCCCUAUAGUACGGAAUAGCCCAGGGAAACUUGGAGUAAUACCGUAUACGCCCGAGAGGGGAAAGAUUUAUCGCUAUAGGAUGGGCCCGCGUAGGAUUAGCUAGUUGGUGAGGUAAUGGCUCACCAAGGCAACGAUCCUUAGCUGGUUUGAGAGAACGACCAGCCACACUGGGACUGAGACACGGCCCAGACUCCUACGGGAGGCAGCAGUGAGGAAU
RNAcentral lists this ribosomal RNA (324 nucleotides) under uncultured bacterium B3-54. Its description in RNAcentral is "bacterial SSU rRNA". It matches the Rfam family "Bacterial small subunit ribosomal RNA", at positions 8 to 362 of the family's 1533-position model. The record is from RNAcentral.